This 67-nucleotide transfer RNA is filed under the name Marmota monax (woodchuck). RNAcentral describes it as "tRNA.Ala". The record is from RNAcentral. Lineage: Eukaryota; Metazoa; Chordata; Mammalia; Rodentia; Sciuridae.
GGUUGUGGCUCAGUGGUACAGCACUCGCCUAGCAUGUGCAAGGCCCUGGGUUCAAUCCUCAGCACCA